This 74-nucleotide transfer RNA is filed under the name Sabethes glaucodaemon. RNAcentral describes it as "tRNA-Asp". It matches the Rfam family "tRNA". Rfam says of the family: Transfer RNA (tRNA) molecules are approximately 80 nucleotides in length. Their secondary structure includes four short double-helical elements and three loops (D, anti-codon, and T loops). Further hydrogen bonds mediate the characteristic L-shaped molecular structure. tRNAs have two regions of fundamental functional importance: the anti-codon, which is responsible for specific mRNA codon recognition, and the 3' end, to which the tRNAs corresponding amino acid is attached (by aminoacyl-tRNA synthetases). tRNAs cope with the degeneracy of the genetic code in two manners: having more than one tRNA (with a specific anti-codon) for a particular amino acid; and 'wobble' base-pairing, i.e. permitting non-standard base-pairing at the 3rd anti-codon position. Lineage: Eukaryota; Metazoa; Arthropoda; Insecta; Diptera; Culicidae. The record is from RNAcentral.
AAAAAAUUAGUUUAAAACAAAAAAAACUUUAGUAUGUCAAACUAAAAAUAUUAGUUUAAAUCUAAUAUUUUUUA